RNAcentral lists this antisense RNA (72 nucleotides) under Labedaea rhizosphaerae. RNAcentral's name for it is "Labedella sp. RS-49 ASpks TB sRNA". It matches the Rfam family "ASpks TB sRNA". The record is from Rfam by way of RNAcentral. Lineage: Bacteria; Bacillati; Actinomycetota; Actinomycetes; Pseudonocardiales; Pseudonocardiaceae.
CUUCACCGAACCGAGCCACAACGGCUCACCAGUGCGGUCGUUGCCGUAGGUGGCGAGCAACGCCUGCGCCUC